Molecule: long non-coding RNA, 6302 nt
Organism: Panonychus citri (citrus red mite)
Lineage: Eukaryota; Metazoa; Arthropoda; Arachnida; Trombidiformes; Tetranychidae
Exons: 6
Source: RefSeq, a predicted model, not a curated record
CUUCCCUUUCCUUUUUUUUGCUACUUGUAUUUUCCUUUGUUUGUUAAGUAAAGCAGGAAAUAGAAAAUUAUUAUUAUGAUUAUCAAAUAGAAAGUGUUGGUAAUCUGUUAAUUUGAAAUGACAACUAUUUCUCCGUCUUCUUCCCUAUCCCUACAUCAUGUUCGCCAUGUAUCUUUCUCUCUUUCUCUCAUUUACAAUCUCUUUGGUUUGAUAAGCGUUUCAAUGGAAAUUAAUCAACCCUUUUUCCUUUUUUUUUCUCUAUCUCUUUUUCCUUACAGAUGAUGAUGGAAACAUGGAGCGUAGUAAUUGAAAUUUAUGUCAAUUGACUAUAAAUAAAGUACCCAGAGUAUGGAUACUUAAAUUCUGAUGGUUCAGUUUGCAUGAUCGUUUUGUAAGUCACCAGUUUGGGUUAACGGUGUGGUGAUUUUUUACUUGAUGAUUGGAUGGAAUCUCAUCUUUUGAAUGAAGUCAUCUUAUUUUCCUAUUACACGAGUAGAGAAAAAUAGAUAUAAGGAAAUUCAAUGGGAUGUACGUGCUGUUGAUAAUAGGAGAAGAAGAAGAAAAUCAUCUCUGUGAAGUGGAUUGAAGAACAAAAUGUUCAACAUGAAAAACAUCCAUUGAAAUUUUAUCUACCCAAUAGGACAGAGAAGUUAUGGUAAAAUACAAAGAGAAAACGAAUCAUCAUCAAGCAAGAGGUAAAAUUUGUUUCCCUCUCACUUCAAGCAAAGAGAAGAUGGAGAGAAAAAGUAGAGAACUACGAGACAAAACGAUAAGAAUAUCAAGAAAAAAGGAAAGAACUUUCGAGAUUGUGGUGAAGAUAAAAAAGAAAAGUUAACGAAGGAGCUAAAACGUCAUGUGCUUUAAUCAGUCUCUUUUCCCAGGUAUCCAGUUUUUCAACGGUAUUAAUAACUAGUAGCAAAAAAGACUUCCACUUCCAGCGGACCUUGAUUUGUUUCCACUAUAGCAACAACAUCACCAUCAAAAAAAAACAACAACAAUGUUUACCUUUAAGGCAUCAUAAUAACCUGGGCUACUUUUGCCGAUGAAAAAUGCUCCUAGGCGUGGAUCGUAAAGGAAAUAUAAACAUAUAAAAAAACUAAGUUGCAAUGAUGAAGAUCCUCUUCCCUCUCUCUUUCUCUCUCACUACAAAUGAGGGUCAAGGGAAUGGAAAAACGAUAACUUGUCAGUGGAAGAAACGAGAAAAAAAAGUAUUAGCUUCCAAUUUUCUCGGGAAUAUAAUACAUAAUGGACGAUGAUGAUGUUAUUAGUAAUAUAAUAACACUAAUAAUAAUUAUUGGAAAGCAAUGAUUCCUUAACUAUCAACCCAGCCAACUAACGUUCCCGUUACGAAUACCGGUUUGACCAGAUUUUGGUACAUAAAUAUCAGAGUGAAACGCAGUCAAUUUAAAUUUUAGGUAAAUGGUUAUUAUUGUGAUUGGGACACAUCAACAGGAUCACCUUCAUCAUCUUCAUCAAAAUCAACAAGGCUCAUGUUUACAAUGUCGCUUCCCUUUUUUUUAAUAUUCACCUAAAACUUUACCUCAUCGUCAAGUUAAUCAUCAUCAUGAUCAUCAACCAGAUCAACAUCAAUUAAUAACUAUGCCAGCAUUGAGCUCUCUUAACACUUGGCUGGAAAACCUUAUUUUUGGCUUAAAGGCUAACAAUUUAAUUCCUUUAAUUACUUUCGCUUCACCAUCAACAACAACAACAACAACAUCAACUGGGAUGCUUUUAAUGGCAGUAGAACAUUUCACUUUCAUUGGCACAUAAAAAACUCUCACUGACUUACUUUUCUUCAUCAUCAUCAUCAUUAUCAUCAUCUUUACCAUAUAAUCUCUUCUUCACCUUAAUUUUUUCUCUCUUUCUACUCUCAUUCUUACUCAAUUUUCUCACCAACUUGUUGCACUUUCUUUCCUCAUUUUCACAGUGUCUUGAGUAAGAGAAUCAACCAGUUUUCUCAUCUAUCACAAACCUCUCAUGAGCAACUAAUUUAAACAUUUAACUGUCAUCCAUUGGUUGAUUAUCAUGAUGAUCAUUCGUAAUAACGUUCCACCAGGAGGCAAAAUGGGUUAAACAAUUUACUAACCAUCAUCUCUAUCAUUUUAAUGGUCAGUGGUUGUUCCAGUUACUAUGAAAGGAAAGAAGGAAAAACAAAGCAAAAUAAAUUCGUAAACAAACUAAUCAUGUUGUUUGUUUGCUAUUACAAAUUAACAGGAACUGUGGAGAAAGAUUUAUUGUCAAAGGAACUAGAUGGUUUCACUAAAACUGCAACAAUUAAAACCGGAUGCUGUUAACUAAUUGUCAGGAGAAAGUUGUUUAAAUUGUUUCAAUAAGAUCGCAUGGAUAAAGUCAAUGAACGCUAUUGUUUUUUAUCGGUGACUCUCAUCAUCAUCUUUUUCCAAUCAUCAUCAUUCAUUAUCAUCUCUCUAUUUCUGGGUAAAAGGAGUCAUAAAUUUCACAUUUGAAGAAGGCAAAAUGAAAAGAUAAUUGUUUGCCAAAAAUUGAUUUUUCAAUCGAAUUGUUUCAACUCUUGCCAACACAAUCAGUUACAACAAUUAACUUAAUUGUGUAGUUUGCUGUUUAUAAUGAGAGUGAGGAGAAAAAAAGUUCAUUGAUAUUGAAAUUUUGUCUUUGUGAGAAGAAAAAAAAAAUCUAAUCCUCAAAACAUUAAUGUCAAUAAUUAACACUUAAUGUGAUUUACUGAUUUGUUCAUUGAACACAACAGAAAUUUUCUCAAUUUCUUCAUUAAUUCAACAAUAUAUAUAAGAUAAUUUGAAUACUAAAUUAACCUCGACAUGAAAAAAAAAGUUUAUUGAGGAAAAAAAUGUAAACAUAAAGAUGACCUUUGAUAGAAAGAAAAUUUCACUUUUUUUUAAUUCUAUUCAAUUAAUAGAUUGAUUUGAUUGUAGAAAACUAAUUAAUAAAUUGACCGAUAAACCUUGAUUGCACUUUCACCAUCAACAAUCAAUAGAAUCUCAACUGAUUAGGAGAUAAAGUUGAUCUUUUAUCAGGUAAGUAAAUAUCAAUUUUUAGCUCGAAAAUUAAUUUAAUUGUGAAACUGUUUCCCUAAUUGUUGUUAUGUAAACAAGUAAUUCAAUUCCCAAGUCAACUGGAUUAAUAAAUUGUCUCUCUCAAUAUCAUCAAUAUACUUAAUAAAGGUUAUGUGAUUCCAAUGAUUAACUUUUUAUUCAUUUGUUUGAUCAUCAUGAUGAUCAUAAUGAUCAGCAUAAUAAUCAUGAUUCCGAUUCACUCUAUUAAUAUUAAACUUUAAUUGUCUGUUUAUGUUGAUUGUGUGUGCGCUUACAUCAGUUGAUUUUAAUGAUCAUGUUUUUAAUCAUUAUGAUGAUAAUCAAAUUGAAGGUCAUCUCUAUCCCUCUCUUAUAAAUUUGUCAUCAACAUUGUGAUUAAACACUUUGAUACCUUGAUUUGGUCUAUCAAAUUACUUGAUUGUUACCUGUUGGUUGUUUUGUUCUGGUGCAAAUUAAUCCAGUUACUUUGUCGAUGGUCAAAUGGUGUCGGUUUUUUUUUCCACAAUCAAAUUGGUGAUGUUGGUGUUUCUCUUGUCAUCUCUUUCGUAGGAUGAUACAUAUCCUUUUAUUGUCGACCCACAAGUUGUUGCUAUUGAUUUGGUUACCAGAACGUUUCUCUAAUGGUUGUUCAAGCUGAGAAGAGGCAGUAAAAGUCAUAUACGAAUAUCUCAUGUUUAGAACCAAAAAAAAAACAAGAAAGGAAGACAAGACGUUAGAGAAACAGCUAAACAAAUGAAGUAAACAAGAAGAAGAGGAAAUGUUGGUAAAAAAAACAACAACAAACGAUGAUGAGUUCUGAGAAAUUCAUGGAAACGAGUGGAUUUAAAGUCAACCCGAACCUCUUAAUUGUUCCAGUCCAUUAUACUGAGAAACUUUGAUUAUCUGUUGGUGGUUGAUUAGUGUAAAUAAGCUAAUCCAUCGUGUUUGUCAUCAGUGUCACUGCGAUUAAUUAUUCAAUAACCAAUUGAGAUUAUUCAUCGCACAAUCAGAGUAAAUCUAAUUUCUAAUUGAAUUGUCAUAAGGAACAAUUAAUGGUCCAUUUUCUAGCCCUUGCUAAUUGCGAAAAUUGUAUUAGAUUUUUUCUGUUGCUAAGCGGUUCGAAUUAAUUAAUUUACGUUGUAUCAUAUUGUUGUCAUCAUCGUUUAUUAAUAGUUAAUUUAAUUCUAUUUCUUUGUUUUCAGAUCCAAGGUCAAUUUAACGCUAUUAGGGAAUAUCAUUAAGCCUGAUUGCAACAAUUAACAGAUUCCAUCAGUUGAUGAUCCCUAAAGGAAAGGAAAACUUGAUAAAUUUGAUUAACUUCUAAAUCCAUCUCAACAAUUAAACUCCAUAAUCUUAAUCUGAACAGUUUAAUUGAAAAUUAAAUGGAGUCUUAAAUUUGUGAUUAAAGUUAAUUGUUAAUCGUUGCUGGUGGAUGAUAAUGAUAAUCGUUAAUUGGUCGUUUAAUGUUAUAUCAAAAACAAUUAAAAGUUACCAAUUAAAUAACUUUCUCGUUCUGGAACAGUUUCAUCUUAAUUGUUGUGACAAUUAAACAAUUUUUCUUAGGAAAAAAAUUGGAUUGGAUUAGAUUGGAUCGUUAAUUGCUGCUAACGACAGGUUUAACAAUUUAACCUUGAAUUGACCAUAAUCAAAUUGACCUUGGAUUUGUUUUGAUAAUCAUCUUAAUCAGAGUGAUUAAGAAAAACCAAAUAAUCAACAACAACAACAAUCCAAACAAUUGAUAAUCCCAAAGCAAUCAACCAGUUGGACGUUUAAUCAAUUGAUCAAAAUACAAUCAAGUUUUACUCUACUGGUGACAAUUUUAUGAUCAGUGAAUUUAAUUGUGGAUUAAUAUUGAACAAUCAUAAUCACAAUUUAAUAAUAAGGUUCAAUUUAAACAAGGAAAGUUGAUUUAAGUGAAAAUAUAAAUAAUAAUCAACUUAAUCAGGUAAAAGAUUAAUUUAAAAGGUAAAAAGCAAAGGGUCAUUUAAUUCAUACACUCACACUAAACAGCAAUUAACUUUGAUUAAGUUAAUCAUUUUACUUUUUCCUGGUCAACAUGCAAAGAAGGUGCAAAAGGUCAAAAUGUAUAUAAAGUUUGAACUUGAUUUGAUUUUGAACAAUUGAAUUUAACAAUCAUAUUUAUAACACUAAUUAGAAACAAUUAAUUGUUAAUCAAUCUUCUCACCAACAACAAUUAAUUAUCUUUUCUUUUCAGAACGAUUUUUGGUUAUCUAAUUGUAAAUCAACAAAGUGAAAAUAAUUUAAUUGCAAACGGAAAAAUUGCUUUUUGCUCUGGACAAUUAAUCAAGACAAUCAAUUAAUUGUUACAUCAAAUUUUGCUUUUAAAACACAAUUCGUUGCAUGUUAAUUAACUUUACUGUUUUUCAGUUUUCUCUGAGUAAUUAAAUUUUACUCAGGAUUGUUAAGCUUAAUUACUGUUUUAUUAAUUGUAAUCAAUUUAGUAGUUCAUUGACUUUUUUGAUUGUUGUUAUAAAUCAUAAGCUCAACAAAGACGAAAAAUUUUAGCAAUUAAUAAAUUACUACUAUUAUAAUGUUUUAUAUUGUGGUUAAUUGUUAGCAACAAUUAGCCAUCUGAUGGUUUAUUGAAUUGAUUGCAAGGCUAAAUUGAAUAUUCAAGUAACAAUUUAAUUAAUUUCAGUGAUUCUUUGAAAAAAUAAGACAAAGAUUAUCUCAAUUAAUUGUCUUAAUCACUGUGAUAAUUGCGAUGUAAUUAGAAGCCAAAAAUUGUAUUUACAAAAUUGAUUCUCAUUGACAAUCUCAACAACAAUUAUCUAAUCAUGGGUAUUUAUAAAUCUAGUAAUUAACUAGUAAAGAUAAAGUAAAACUAAUCAACUAAUCAUCAAGCUAAAAAAUUAACACCAAAUGAGAUGAUUAUUAUGAUCGACGUAUUGUUUUGCCUGAUUGAGUUAAUUGUGAUACCAUAAUAAUAGAGAGACGACAAAAUUGAUGAAAAAUUGAAAAACAACAACUGGAGCCAACAAUUAGUUAAUCACAAUUACAUCACGUCGAGAGAUAGACAAGAACCAACAUGUUUGUACCAUAAUUGAUUAACAGUAAUCAAUGUUAUUCACAAUAAUAACAAUAUAACGAUCAGAACGAUGAUAAUUAUUAUCAUUACAUGGGCAACAUUACAUCAGGAAAAAAAAAUGAGUAUUAAAAAAAUAUCACAUGAUGAUAUCUCUCAAGUUACAGAGUUAUCAUCAUCAUCUCCAUUAUUAUUGAUUGCGAUUUGAAAGAAUCAGCAAUCAACUUGAAGCGUAAUAUUUACAACAU